UGGGGAAUAUUGGACAAUGGGCGAAAGCCUGAUCCAGCCAUGCCGCGUGUGUGAAGAAGGUCUUCGGAUKGKKNAGCACUUUAAGUUGGGAGGAAGGGCAUUAACCUAAUACGUUGGUGUCUUGACGUUACCGACAGAAUAAGCACC
Molecule: ribosomal RNA, 147 nt
Filed under: uncultured eubacterium ZI-12
Lineage: Bacteria
Description: partial 16S ribosomal RNA
Rfam family: Bacterial small subunit ribosomal RNA
Source: RNAcentral